CACCGCGCCCGGCCCCUAUCUCCACUUCUAUAGUUGUUUUCCCUUAUUUAAGUAUGACCUACCCACAUAGGUGCUAACUGAGCCCAAGUAGGAGCUGGAAUUCAGAAAACCCAUAAAGGUACCUAGAUAAAAGCUAGAAAGGGAGUUUGGAAAAGAAAAGAAAGUAAGGGUCCACGUCAAAAAAUCAUUCUACAAAGAGAAGGUUGGUCAAUUUUUAAGGUUCCAUAUGACCUCAAAGGAAAAUCUCGGUUAUCUCCCACUUCCUAUUAAAGCAUUUCAGUAUUAACGGCUCAACAGUGAACUUAUUGUAAAUUCAGAGGGCGCAGUGGCACACGCCCAUAAUCCCAGCACUUUGGGAGGCCAAGGCGGGCAGAUCACUUGAGCUCAGGAGUUCAAGACCAGCCUGGCCAACAUAGUGAGACCCUAUCUCUACAAAACACACACACACACACACACACACACACACACACACACACACAUAAAAAUUAGCCAGGUGCGGUGGUGCACACCUGUAGUCCCAGCUACUCAGGAAGCUGAGGUAGAAGAAUCAUCUGAGCCCAGGAGGCCGAGACUGCAAUGAGCCGAGAUUGUGCCACUACACUCCAGCCUGGGUAACAGAGUGAGACCCUGUCUCAAUCAAACAGUUCAGAGGGGGCUCCCAAUCAGAUACAAACAAGAUCCAAAAGGUAAAGUUAAUAAUUUUGUAGACCUCAUGUGAAACUAGGGAAGGCUUUAUUCCAAAACCCUAUAUUAACACUGCUUAUACCACUAGUGUGAGUCUGUUCACCCUUAAUAUGAAGGGGCAACUCAACUGGAUAUUUUUUCCAUCAUAAACUCAUGCUGUCCCCUACCACCCCUGUCUUCCUGUCACCUCCAAUGAGAAUAGAGUGGAAGAUAGGGUAAGAAAAGUACCCUUUGGGGCAUACCUUUUCAACCACUUCCUCAUGGCUGGCAUCCUCUACAUUCUCUCCAUUCACUUCAAUCAAGUGAUCAUCAGCCAGAACUCCAGCUCUCAUAGCCACACCUUGAGGUGUAAUAUCAGUCAUGUACACCCCCUUUUUACCUGGAAGAGAGUAGGGGUAAACUCCAUGUGGAGACACAAGUGACUCCCUCUUGGAUGGUAAUCUGUGAUGUUGACUUCUGAUUAGCCCCAGUCCUGUGAUUGCCUCCCGAUUUCUACUUCAUUUACUGUCCCUAGUCUAAGAACAUGUCAACCUUAAUGUUAUCACGCAAAUUAUAGGCUAUGAUGCACUAUAGCAUUCUUGGCUAUUGCGGAGGGCUGCCUUCGAUUGUCUUGCUGGAGCACAUAUACCCUUUCCCUAUGGUAUAUCAGCCUUGGGUCUGGGGAGUAACACAGAGAUCUACAUGUUUUGUGGCUGUCCAAGACCAUGCUUCUGUUCGUAAGUUCCCCUGAUAAAUUCCAAUGUACCAACAAACUGGAUUUGCCUGCCUUGUCCUUUGGUUUCUCAGCUCCUUUGGCCUUUGAGGGACUGCUUUGCAUACACCACCCUUUCACAGAACACUCCAUUGCAAAGAAAAACUCGAAAUCCAAUGGUAAAGACUUUUCUCCCAAUAAUGUGAAACAAACUUCCGAUUUUAGAGCUAACUCGGCCUUUGGCUUCUGAUCUAAAAUCACAGUUAUAGGUCCUGGCACUGAACUUGACACAGCCUUUACUCAGUGGGUAUUUGUUGAUUUGAAUAGAAUUUCUGAGGUCAGCUAAAUGCAAAGAUGGAAUCUUGGGUGGCCUUGGCCCCUUGAACCAGAAAGCGCUAAAACAUGCCCACACUGCAUUAUUGUGUCAUACGCCCUUUCUUUGCAUUUGUAGAAUCAGAAAGCAUCUUUACCAUUCUCUCCUCUUCAGUUUGUACUAUUAUAUUAGCCAUCGUAUGCUGUGGAGUCAUCUCACCAAUGUAGGCUAACAAGGACAGGCACAGGAGGGAGGGAAGAACCCGAAUGCAUUUAGGUGGUGAGAUUUAGGUGCUACUUAUAGAAAUGCUGUCAAUUCUUCAAAGAUAUUAAUAGAGCAGUUCCCCCUUAACCAUGGGGGAUACAUUCCAAGACCCCCAGUGGAGGCCUGAAACUUUAAGAUAGUAUACCGAACCCUAUAUGUUUUUUCCUGUGCUUACAUACCUACAAUAGAGUUUAACUUAUAAAUUAGGCACAGUAAGAGAUUAACAAUAACUGAGCUAAUCUUAGCAACCUCAGCAUACAGUAUUUUUUCUUUCCUUAUUAAAUCGAGAACUUUUCACUUAAUAGAAGCACUUUACAGCCUUUUUUUUUUUUUUUUUAACAGAUGGAGUCUCGCUCUGUCACCUAGGCUGGAACGCAGGGCCGCAAUCUUGGCUCACAGCAACCUCUGCCUCCCCGGUUCAAGCGAUUCUCCUGCCUCAGCCUCUCGAGUAGCUGGGACUACAGGCGCCUGCCACCGCGCCUGGCUAAUUUUUGUAUUUUUAGUAGAGAUGGGGUUUCGCCAUGUUGGCCAGGCUUGUCUCGAACUCCUGACCUCAGGUAAUCCACUCGCCUCGCACUCUCAAAGCGCUAGGAUUACAGAUAUGAGCCACUGUGCCCGGCCACUUUACAGCUUCUCUUUGUCAUAUCUGAACUGCCAGCAUCACUAUCCUUGCAUUUUUGGCUUUUUUUUUUUUUUUUUUUGAGACGGAGUCUUGCUUUAUCGCCCAGCCUGGAGUGCAGUGGCGCAAUCUGAGCUCACUGCAACCUCCGCCUCCCGGGUUCACACCAUUCUCCUGCCUCAGCCUCCUGAGUAGCUGGGACUACAGGCGCCCACCACCACACCCGGCUAAUUUUUUGUAUUUUUAGUAGAGACAGGGUUUCACCGUGUUAGCCAGGAUGGUCUCGAUCUCCUGACCUCAUGAUCUGCCCGCCUCGGCCUCCCAAAGUGCUGGGAUUACAGGCGUGAGCCACUGCGCCCGGCCUGAGCUAUUAUUUUUUAUUGAUACAUAACAUUUGUACAUAUUUAUAGGGUGUGUGUCAUAUUUUGAUACCAAGAGCAUAUAAUGAACAAAUCAGGGUGUAAUAUUUAGGACAUCCAUCCUUGAACAUUUAUCAUUUCUUUGUGUUGAGAAUAUUUCAAAUCUUCUUACAGCUAUUUUGAAAUGUACAAUACAUUGUUGUUAACUACAGUCACCCCACUGUGCUAUCAAACAUUAGAACUUAUUCCUUCUCUCUGUGGGUUUGUACCCAUUAACCUAGCUCUCUUCAUCCCCACCCUACCCCACACACAUACCCUUCCCAGCUGCUGGUAUCUCUCAUUCUACUCUCUACCUCCAUGAGAUUCACCUUUUUUAGCUCCCACAUAUGAGAAUAUGUGAUAUUUUUCUUUCUGUGCUGGGCCAUUAUUAAGCAAAAUAAGGAUUAUUUGAACACAGUACUUUAAUACCGUGACAGUUGACCUGGUAACUGAGUAGUAAGUAGUAAGACUAACAGGCAGGUAAGCACAUGCCACGUGGAGAUGCUAGACAAACAGAGGAUUCAUGUCCAAGACGGGGCAGGACAGCACAAGAUUUCAUUACACUACUCAUAAUGGUUCACAAUGCAAAAAUUAUGUAUGGAAUUUUCCAUUUAAUAUUUUCAGACCACAGUUGCCUGCAGGUAAGGUAACUGAAACUAUGGAAAGCCAAACAGGAUAAGGGGGGACUCUUGUAUGUCAACCUAGGCAAGGGAUCGCUUGCUAAUGACUACAUAAAUCACUUGUAAGGAAUGACAAUAACUUAAACUCUGCUUCCUUAAACACUCAGCAUUUCUCCUGCUACCUUGUUAUAUAUUUGUCAUGAAGAGACCAUUUUCCUCAUAAAGCUAACCUAAACCAUUCACCAUGUGCAUUAGCACAUGAGCCAGAUGAGUAGAAUCUGAAUUAUGAUUUUCUUUUUUUUACCACUUUACUGAUAAUAGGCUUCUAAGACGUGCCAAGCUUCCUUUGACUAUACACACCACUGUGUUUAAUAACUGACAGACCUGAGAAAUACCCCUUAUCGUGAGUUUACAUCUCUUGGUACAGGUUAAAUAAGCCUUAGAAACUAUUUUAAAUUUACCACUGGUCUGCUGCUGUAUCACUUGCCAAAUCAUGACCUACCACCAGUGCUUCUCCAGCCCCAGAAAGAACAUAGGCAGAGGCAGUGUUCAAGAAGGAAUUGACCAGCUAACACAGCUCCUCUGGUUCCAACCAAUACCCCAGAGCCACGGUCAACUGAACACAGGAAUCCCCAUCCAGAACUAGUAAAGUCACUGAAUUCCCACUCUUUCUGACCAGAUCCACAACCUAGGAGGGAAGAAGAAAAAGGAGAAUAAGAACAGGGGCCAGAACAGCAAGAGGCUGAUACAGAAGGCAGAAGGCUCACAACAGAGCACUGGAGUCUGCUCUUCACACCACCUGCAAGGCAAGCCCUCAAGUUCCUCUCAUCACAGUUCCCUACCUACAAAUCAGAAUAAACCACCUAUCCCUUCCCUCCUGGAGGGACAAGAACGGAUGACCACACAGGAUAUGGGGGAGGGUGAAGAAUAGGCCACAAAGUGCUCCAGGCACCCUAGAAGCCAUGGCAUGGUGAUUGAAGAUAGCCAUCCCUGACCUUCAUGCCCACAGAGACGUACAGUACAAAUCAGACAGAGAGCCCCCAGCUGCCCAAUACCAGGCCUCUCCUGCAGUCUCCGCAAAGUCUGAAGCCCCACGCCACCAGUGGCACGAGUGACUAAGUAGCGAAGAAAGAAGCAAACAAAUAGACUCCCCAUCGAGCAUUGAGGCAAGAAAACAGCAAAGCCACUCACCAGUGGUCAACACCAGCACCUUGGGAGAGCUAGGCAGCUCUGCCUUAUCAAAAGCCAUGACCAGCUGCCAGGAAAACACCACUCUGGGAUGAAAGGAGAAAAUAUGGCAUCACCAGAGUUGAGUCACAUCCAGGCACCUGUUUGUGGCCCAUUCCAGCUCCCUCACCUUUCACUCCUCUUUCUGCUGAUCCCAACCUGCGAGCAUCAGUUCAGUUUCAGCUUGAGUUCACAUCUAUGUCCAAGCUCACCUGUAGAUCCCUACACCUUUCCAUUUCAUAGGGCCAAAAGACCCCAAAAGAAAAAAAAUCAGAAAAGAAAGACGAGGUCUCAAUGUACUUUACUGGGAGGAUCAGACAGUAAUUACAUAAAUGAAUAGGAUCAUUUCAGAUAAUGAUAUUUGCUGUGAAGAAAAUAAAACAAUGUCAAACAAAACAUGCAAAGCCCUCUUAAAGUUGGGAGUAAUUAUUGGAGAACCUCAUUCAAAUCCUACAAAAUUUAAAAUAUGUCCUUAUAAUCAGAAUAAGGCCAACAGAUACUAUGUUUUCAUCAAGAGAUGAGGCUGUUUGUGAUCAGCAUAUGAAUGCUCAUUUCUAAGGCACUCACACCCAAGACUCAACAAUCUCACGCCCUGCAGUGUCAACCACAAACUCUUAAUCUCUUUGUUUGUAGGCCAAGGAUAGAAAGUGAAACCUCCUCACUAGGAGAACCAGCCCUGUGUUUGGAGAGAGGGGAAGAGGCAAAGGUUUUCCUAUGUCUCACUGGAGACCUGUGAGCCUGACAUACAAAGAAACACAAAUCACUGUUUCUUGGCAGAAUCUCAAGUUGACUUUUUUGUUUGAAGUUUUCAAACAGCCAGAUGGUAAUCGCUCAGAUCUGCAUCUAUGGCUUUGAAGGCUCAAGCAUUCAAGGUCAGUUUCUUUUUUGUCUGGUUGAAGCCAGAAAAUUAGAGCCACUUUAUACCAAUAGUGAAAUGCUACCAUACUGGUGGGGAAACAGCUACUGCUGCAAGCCCCCAACUGCCUUCUGCCACUGUGUACUCCCCACCACACAGCCAUUAAUGGAUUAAUGCUAUGGCCAUCGAUCUGCAUGUACCCAGGCCAAACUGAUUAAAUAUUUAACGCCCCCAGCUGCACCAAUGGGGAAAGCAGACCUAAACCUCAAAAGCCUGGUCUUACAUGGGAACCUAAAACUAUUUGUUUCCUUUGCCAUCUUGCAGAAAGAUGAUUCAUCUAGGAGCCAAGGGAGCUGGGCUCUGGUCCACCUCCAGGCCUUGUUCUGUCUAGUCCACAUCCUGGUGUUACUCUGUCCCCUAAUUCAGAGCUGGGGUAUGUCUCUUUCGCAAGACUCUGUCAUUGCUCCAUGACAAGGAUGCCUGGGACUCUGGAACACAGGGCCUAAUUAGGAAGGAUCUUUGUAUUUAAGGAUACUCUUUCCUACUUCUUUAACCCCACCUCAUCUUCUGCCUCCUGAAAAAAUCUAGAGAUCAGACCCCUCUGGUGGAUAGACACAGAAGAAAUGAAGGCCUAUGGAUUUCUAGAAUAUCAUUAGCAGCAAUCAUUUGAAGUUGGAGUCCAUUAAAUCCAGCAGGCUUUGUUCCCCAGUUCAAACAGCCAAAAUACAUGGUGGUACACAUCUUUAGUCCCAGCUACUCGGGAGGCUUAGUUGGGAGGAUGGCUUGAACCUGGAGGCAGAGAGGUUGCUGUGAGCCGAGAUCGCACCACUGCACUCCAGCCUGGGCAACAGAAUGAGACCCUGUUUCAAAAAAAGAAAAAAAAACUGGAGAUGAAAGAAAGCUAUAACCAUUCCUGAGCUCGGGGGGGAAAAAUCAAUAGUUGACAACAAAGUUGUUUAUCUGUG
RNAcentral lists this long non-coding RNA (6637 nucleotides) under Homo sapiens (human). RNAcentral describes it as "HSALNT0014278". The record is from RNAcentral. Lineage: Eukaryota; Metazoa; Chordata; Mammalia; Primates; Hominidae.